RNAcentral lists this ribosomal RNA (451 nucleotides) under uncultured bacterium. Its description in RNAcentral is "partial 16S ribosomal RNA". It matches the Rfam family "Bacterial small subunit ribosomal RNA", at positions 30 to 523 of the family's 1533-position model. The record is from RNAcentral.
AUUGAACGCUGGCGGCAGGCUUAACACAUGCAAGUCGAGCGGCCGUAGCAAUACGGCAGCGGCAGACGGGAGAGUAACACGUGGGAACGUACCCUUCAGUUCGGAACAACCCAGGGAAACUUGGGCUAAUACCGAAUACGUCCGUAAGGAGAAAGAUUUAUCGCUGAAGGAUCGGCCCGCGUCUGAUUAGCUAGUUGGUGAGGUAACGGCUCACCAAGGCGACGAUCAGUAGCUGGUCUGAGAGGAUGAUCAGCCUCACUGGGACUGAGACACGGCCCAGACUCCUACGGGAGGCAGCAGUGGGGAAUAUUGGACAAUGGGCGCAAGCCUGAUCCAGCCAUGCCGCGUGGAUGAUGAAGGCCUUAGGGUUGUAAAGUCCUUUUAACGGGGAAGAUAAUGACGGUACCCGUAGAAUAAGCCCCGGCUAACUUCGUGCCAGCCGCCGCGGUAA